GAUGAACGCUGGCGGCGUGCCUAAUACAUGCAAGUCGAGCGAACAGACGAUGAGCUUGCGCCUCUGACGUUAGCGGCGGACGGGUGAGUAACACGUGGAUAACGUACCUGUAAGACUGGUAUAACUUGGGGACAGCGGAGCUUAUAGCGUAUGAUAUAUUGCACCGCAGUGGUCAAUAGUGAUAGACGGUUUUGCUGUCUCUUAUAGAUGGAUAUGAGCUGCAUUAGCUAGUUGGGAAGGUAACGGCUUAUCACGGGUAGGAUGCGUAGCCGAACUGAGAGGGUGAUCGGCCACACUAGAGCUGGAACACCGUCCAGACGCCUGCGGGAGGCAGCAGAAGGGAAUCUGCCGCAAAAGGCGAAAGCAUUACGGAACAACGCCGAGUGUGUGGUGAAGGCCUUCGGAGCGUAAAGCUCUGUUAUUAGGGAAGAACAAAUGUGUCAGUAGCUAUGCCCGUCUUGACGGUACCGAAUCAGAAAGCCACGGCUAACUACGUG
RNAcentral lists this ribosomal RNA (497 nucleotides) under uncultured bacterium. RNAcentral describes it as "partial 16S ribosomal RNA". It matches the Rfam family "Bacterial small subunit ribosomal RNA", at positions 28 to 507 of the family's 1533-position model. The record is from RNAcentral.